Molecule: ribosomal RNA, 253 nt
Filed under: uncultured bacterium
Lineage: Bacteria
Description: partial 16S ribosomal RNA
Rfam family: Bacterial small subunit ribosomal RNA
Source: RNAcentral
UACGGGGGGGGCAAGCGUUGUUCGGAAUUACUGGGCGUAAAGGGUUUGUAGGUGGCCGGCUAAGUCAGACGUGAAAUCCCUCAGCUUAACUGGGGAACUGCGUCUGAAACUGAUCGGCUCGAGUGCAGGAGAGGAACGCGGAAUUCCAGGUGUAGCGGUGAAAUGCGUAGAUAUCAGGAGGAACACCGGUGGCGAAGGCGGUUCUCUGGGCAUGUCCUGACGCUGAGGAGCGAAAGUGUGGGGAGCGAACAGG